RNAcentral lists this ribosomal RNA (367 nucleotides) under uncultured bacterium. RNAcentral's name for it is "bacterial SSU rRNA". It matches the Rfam family "Bacterial small subunit ribosomal RNA", at positions 527 to 896 of the family's 1533-position model. The record is from RNAcentral.
GGAGGGUGCAAGCGUUAAUCGGAGUUACUGGGCGUAAAGCGCACGCAGGCGGUUCUGUUAAGUCAGAUGUGAAAUCCCCGGGCUUAACCUGGGAACUGCAUUUGAACUGCAGGCUUGAGUCUUGUAGAGGGGUAGAAUUCCAGGUGUAGCGGUGAAAUGCGUAGAGAUCUGGAGGAAUACCGGUGGCGAAGGCGGCCCCCUGGACAAAGACUGACGCUCAGGUGCGAAAGCGUGGGAGCAAACAGGAUUAGAUACCCUGGUAGUCCACGCCGUAAACGAUGUCGACUUGGAGGUUGGUUCCCCUUGAGGAGUGGCUUCCGGAGCUAACGCGUUAAGUCGACGCCUGGGGAGUACGGCCGCAAGGUUA